GGUAUGUAAAGCUCUAUCAGCAGGGAAGAAAAAAAUGACGGUACCUGACUAAGAAGCCCCGUCUAACUACGUGCCAGCAGCCGCGGUAAUACGUAGGGGGCAAGCGUUAUCCGGAUUUACUGGGUGUAAAGGGAGCGCAGGCGGUGCGGCAAGUCUGAUGUGAAAGCCCGGGGCUCAACCCCGGGACUGCAUUGGAAACUGUCGUACUUGAGUAUCGGAGAGGUAAGUGGAAUUCCUAGUGUAGCGGUGAAAUGCGUAGAUAUUAGGAGGAACACCAGUGGCGAAGGCGGCUUACUGGACGAUAACUGACGCUGAGGCUCGAAAGCGUGGGGAGCAAACAGGAUUAGAUACCCUGGUAGUCCACGCCGUAAA
This 372-nucleotide ribosomal RNA is filed under the name uncultured bacterium. RNAcentral's name for it is "bacterial SSU rRNA". It matches the Rfam family "Bacterial small subunit ribosomal RNA", at positions 420 to 806 of the family's 1533-position model. The record is from RNAcentral.